GUGCCAGCAGCCGCGGUAAUACGUAGGGUGCGAGCGUUGUCCGGAAUUACUGGGCGUAAAGAGUUCGUAGGCGGUUUGUCGCGUCGUUUGUGAAAACCCGGGGCUCAACUUCGGGCUUGCAGGCGAUACGGGCAGACUUGAGUGUUUCAGGGGAGACUGGAAUUCCUGGUGUAGCGGUGAAAUGCGCAGAUAUCAGGAGGAACACCGGUGGCGAAGGCGGGUCUCUGGGAAACAACUGACGCUGAGGAACGAAAGCGUGGGUAGCAAACAGGAUUAGAUACCCUGGUAGUCCACGCCGUAAACGGUGGGCGCUAGGUGUGGGUUCCUUCCACGGGAUCUGUGCCGUAGCUAACGCAUUAAGCGCCCCGCCUGGGGAGUACGGCCGCAAGGCUAAAACUCAAAGGAAUUGACGGGGGCCCGCACAAGCGGCGGAGCAUGUGGAUUAAUUCGAUGCAACGCGAAGAACCUUACCUGGGUUUGACAUACACCGGAAAACCGUAGAGAUACGGUCCCCCUUUGUGUCGGUGUACAGGUGGUGCAUGGCUGUCGUCAGCUUCGUGUCGUGAGAUGUUGGGUUUAAGUCCCGCAACGAGCGCAACCCUUUGUCUUAUGUUGCCAGCACGUAAUGGUGGGGACUCGUAAGAGACUGCCGGGUCAACUCGGAGGAAGGUGGGGACGACGUCAAGUCAUCAUGCCCCUUAUGUCAGGCUUCACACAUGCUACAUGUCAGUACAGAGGGCUGCGAGACGUGAGGUGAGCGAUCCCUUAAAGCUGUCUCAGUCCGAUCGGGUCUGCAUCGACUCGUGAGUCGAGUCGCUAGUAUCGCAGAUCAGCACGUGCGGUGAAUACGUUCAGCCUUGGAUCUCACCGCCGUCAGGCGAAUUCUGUUAAACUUGCAGGACAUAGGUCC
RNAcentral lists this ribosomal RNA (910 nucleotides) under uncultured bacterium. RNAcentral describes it as "bacterial SSU rRNA". It matches the Rfam family "Bacterial small subunit ribosomal RNA", at positions 505 to 1433 of the family's 1533-position model. The record is from RNAcentral.